Molecule: ribosomal RNA, 2449 nt
Filed under: Pseudomonas aeruginosa
Lineage: Bacteria; Pseudomonadati; Pseudomonadota; Gammaproteobacteria; Pseudomonadales; Pseudomonadaceae
Description: bacterial LSU rRNA
Rfam family: Bacterial large subunit ribosomal RNA
Source: RNAcentral
GAACCAGUACCGUGAGGGAAAGGCGAAAAGAACCCCGGAGAGGGGAGUGAAAUAGAACCUGAAACCGUAUGCGUACAAGCAGUGGGAGCCUACUUGUUAGGUGACUGCGUACCUUUUGUAUAAUGGGUCAGCGACUUAUAUUCAGUGGCAAGCUUAACCGUAUAGGGUAGGCGUAGCGAAAGCGAGUCUUAAUAGGGCGUUUAGUCGCUGGGUAUAGACCCGAAACCGGGCGAUCUAUCCAUGAGCAGGUUGAAGGUUAGGUAACACUGACUGGAGGACCGAACCCACUCCCGUUGAAAAGGUAGGGGAUGACUUGUGGAUCGGAGUGAAAGGCUAAUCAAGCUCGGAGAUAGCUGGUUCUCCUCGAAAGCUAUUUAGGUAGCGCCUCAUGUAUCACUCUGGGGGGUAGAGCACUGUUUCGGCUAGGGGGUCAUCCCGACUUACCAAACCGAUGCAAACUCCGAAUACCCAGAAGUGCCGAGCAUGGGAGACACACGGCGGGUGCUAACGUCCGUCGUGAAAAGGGAAACAACCCAGACCGCCAGCUAAGGUCCCAAAGUUGUGGUUAAGUGGUAAACGAUGUGGGAAGGCUUAGACAGCUAGGAGGUUGGCUUAGAAGCAGCCAUCCUUUAAAGAAAGCGUAAUAGCUCACUAGUCGAGUCGGCCUGCGCGGAAGAUGUAACGGGGCUCAAACCACACACCGAAGCUGCGGGUGUCACGUAAGUGACGCGGUAGAGGAGCGUUCUGUAAGCCUGUGAAGGUGAGUUGAGAAGCUUGCUGGAGGUAUCAGAAGUGCGAAUGCUGACAUGAGUAACGACAAUGGGUGUGAAAAACACCCACGCCGAAAGACCAAGGGUUCCUGCGCAACGUUAAUCGACGCAGGGUUAGUCGGUUCCUAAGGCGAGGCUGAAAAGCGUAGUCGAUGGGAAACAGGUUAAUAUUCCUGUACUUCUGGUUACUGCGAUGGAGGGACGGAGAAGGCUAGGCCAGCUUGGCGUUGGUUGUCCAAGUUUAAGGUGGUAGGCUGAAAUCUUAGGUAAAUCCGGGGUUUCAAGGCCGAGAGCUGAUGACGAGUCGUCUUUUAGAUGACGAAGUGGUUGAUGCCAUGCUUCCAAGAAAAGCUUCUAAGCUUCAGGUAACCAGGAACCGUACCCCAAACCGACACAGGUGGUCGGGUAGAGAAUACCAAGGCGCUUGAGAGAACUCGGGUGAAGGAACUAGGCAAAAUGGCACCGUAACUUCGGGAGAAGGUGCGCCGGCUAGGGUGAAGGAUUUACUCCGUAAGCUCUGGCUGGUCGAAGAUACCAGGCCGCUGCGACUGUUUAUUAAAAACACAGCACUCUGCAAACACGAAAGUGGACGUAUAGGGUGUGACGCCUGCCCGGUGCCGGAAGGUUAAUUGAUGGGGUUAGCGCAAGCGAAGCUCUUGAUCGAAGCCCCGGUAAACGGCGGCCGUAACUAUAACGGUCCUAAGGUAGCGAAAUUCCUUGUCGGGUAAGUUCCGACCUGCACGAAUGGCGUAACGAUGGCGGCGCUGUCUCCACCCGAGACUCAGUGAAAUUGAAAUCGCUGUGAAGAUGCAGUGUAUCCGCGGCUAGACGGAAAGACCCCGUGAACCUUUACUGUAGCUUUGCACUGGACUUUGAGCCUGCUUGUGUAGGAUAGGUGGGAGGCUUUGAAGCGUGGACGCCAGUUCGCGUGGAGCCAUCCUUGAAAUACCACCCUGGCAUGCUUGAGGUUCUAACUCUGGUCCGUAAUCCGGAUCGAGGACAGUGUAUGGUGGGCAGUUUGACUGGGGCGGUCUCCUCCUAAAGAGUAACGGAGGAGUACGAAGGUGCGCUCAGACCGGUCGGAAAUCGGUCGCAGAGUAUAAAGGCAAAAGCGCGCUUGACUGCGAGACAGACACGUCGAGCAGGUACGAAAGUAGGUCUUAGUGAUCCGGUGGUUCUGUAUGGAAGGGCCAUCGCUCAACGGAUAAAAGGUACUCCGGGGAUAACAGGCUGAUACCGCCCAAGAGUUCAUAUCGACGGCGGUGUUUGGCACCUCGAUGUCGGCUCAUCACAUCCUGGGGCUGAAGCCGGUCCCAAGGGUAUGGCUGUUCGCCAUUUAAAGUGGUACGCGAGCUGGGUUUAGAACGUCGUGAGACAGUUCGGUCCCUAUCUGCCGUGGACGUUUGAGAUUUGAGAGGGGCUGCUCCUAGUACGAGAGGACCGGAGUGGACGAACCUCUGGUGUUCCGGUUGUCACGCCAGUGGCAUUGCCGGGUAGCUAUGUUCGGAAAAGAUAACCGCUGAAAGCAUCUAAGCGGGAAACUUGCCUCAAGAUGAGAUCUCACUGGGAACUUGAUUCCCCUGAAGGGCCGUCGAAGACUACGACGUUGAUAGGCUGGGUGUGUAAGCGUUGUGAGGCGUUGAGCUAACCAGUACUAAUUGCCCGUGAGGCUUGACCAU